This 406-nucleotide ribosomal RNA is filed under the name uncultured bacterium. RNAcentral describes it as "partial 16S ribosomal RNA". It matches the Rfam family "Bacterial small subunit ribosomal RNA", at positions 30 to 526 of the family's 1533-position model. The record is from RNAcentral.
AUUGAACGCUGGCGGCAGGCCUAACACAUGCAAGUCGAGCGAGCGGCGGACGGGUGAGUAAUUUAUGGGGAUCUGCCCGAUAGCGGGGGCUAACUACUGGAAACGGUGGCUAAUACCGCAUACUAUCGGCUGAACCCAUAUGGGAUUAGCUAGUAGGUGGGGUAAAGGCGCACCUAGGCGACGAUAUAUAGCUGGUAUGAGAGGAUGAUCAGCCACACUGGGACUGAGACACGGCCCAGACUCCUACGGGAGGCAGCAGUGGGGAAUAUUGCACAAUGGGCGAAAGCCUGAUGCAGCCAUGCCGCGUGUAUGAAGAAGGCCUUAGGGUUGUAAAGUACUUUCAGCGGGGAGGCGUUACCCGCAGAAGAAGCACCGGCUAACUCCGUGCCAGCAGCCGCGGUAAUUC